This 567-nucleotide long non-coding RNA is filed under the name Fukomys damarensis (Damara mole-rat). RNAcentral describes it as "lncRNA (ENSFDAG00000032196.1)". Lineage: Eukaryota; Metazoa; Chordata; Mammalia; Rodentia; Bathyergidae. The record is from RNAcentral.
AAAUAUUUGUGGAAUGAAUAGUUACAUGGCAAUGUUUACUAAUAUGAGAAUGUAAUUUCCAUUUUUCUAAUUCAAUUUCUGUGUUUAUUCUUUGAGUCAUGUUAAGGGAUCAGGAGCAAAAUGAGAUGAUGGCUACAACUUGGUUGAGAAAAAAUAGUGAUUCACUGAGCAAAGACGGGAGGAGAGGGAAGAGAAAAAUAUCUUCCUGGUCCUUUGGCUGUGUGAGACCUCCCGAGAGCACGAGGAAGGGAACCAUUGGCUCAAGGGUACAUUGGCCCUGCAUGGACACUGUGUGAGUACUGCAUAGAUUGGGCCCUAAAAAUAUGUAAUCUCCUAAUGGGUAGAGACCAUAUUGCUUACAUAAUAGCCUGAGCUCCCUUCAAAAUCCCUUGAAGUAUCUAUACAAAGAGCCCUUGUGUGUAUCCUGCUCACAACCACCUCCUAGGUAGUGGGAGCUUUACUUCCUUGCCUGUCUUUUAAAUACCUUUCCUUGCCCCCUACCUUCUCUGUCUGGUGUUUCGUUCUUCAUCACUGUGGGACAUGACCCAGUUGUUUCAGUAACACCCA